UCAGACAUGGUGUAAUGGGAGCAUCGUCUCGCAAUAUAUAUUUGGUAGUGGUUUUCAUAUUACGAGGCUGUUCAGGGUUCGAAUCCCUGUGUCUGAC
Molecule: non-coding RNA, 97 nt
Organism: Mycena vulgaris
Lineage: Eukaryota; Fungi; Basidiomycota; Agaricomycetes; Agaricales; Mycenaceae
Source: the annotation of a GenBank genome assembly